Long non-coding RNA from Spinacia oleracea (spinach), 312 nucleotides. RefSeq lists it as uncharacterized. NCBI's taxonomy places the organism in Eukaryota, Viridiplantae, Streptophyta, Magnoliopsida, Caryophyllales, Amaranthaceae. The transcript is spliced from 3 exons. The record is from RefSeq and is a predicted model, not a curated record.
GCCCAAUUGGGCAAAGCCCAAACAAAAAAAUAAAACCCUUCUCUUCUCUAUUCUUCACGUGAAAACCAAAAGAAAGAGAGAAAACCCUCCUUCUUCAACCUCACGCAACUCAGCUUUCUCUCUCCCGCUGCUCGCCGCCCAGCCGACCACCAUCAACACGCAACCAGUGACCCAAGGCCCGACCACCGCACGCAACCGUGCUCAGCCUUGCCGCGAGCCACCGCUGUCCGCCGGCCAGCACUCCCCUUAAACUCUUGAAUUGGCGGAGAAUUCUCUUUAGGCGACUUUUGAAAGUGUUAAAGUGGCCUAUCA